AGGAAAAAAAAAGCUCCGUGAGGGAAACGUUUAACACUUGGCUGAUGCACAAGAGUGACUUAAUACACACAACAAGUCAGGGACCUAUGCCAGCCAAUAAGACAAAGGGAGGGGAAGACUGAUAAAGGGAAAUAAAGAAAGAAAUGGCUGACGUUUGGAGAAGAAUACAUGGGAUAUUUUGCUGCAACAAAUAACAUUUUUUUCCUAACCCUGAAAAUUGCCCCACUUAGACUCCCGUUGGCAGCAAUCACAGAGGCUACAAACCCAGGGUAUGAAGUUUGCCAGUAGGCUCCUAAAGUGUUUCCUGGACUUCCUAUCUUAUGGGAAAAUAAAUAAAUCUUCUUAAACUCUUGCACGCAAAACUCAGAAGGUGAACAGAAUAUCCCUCCCUCUUUCUAACAGGGGCCAAGUUUCUCCCCGGUGACGCCGCCUGAAGUGUGAGGCUUCCUUCUCGGAAGGGAAGAUCCAGCCCGGCUUCACACCCGGUUGUCACCCUCUUCCCCUCUCAUUACUCGUCCUCAACUUUCCGAACAGUUUAUUCGGGAAAAGAAAGAGGUCACACCAGAAGUGUGCGAAUGCACACUUCCUACCAGGACUCCCAUCGAUCGCCCAUAUGAAGAAGACACUUUUAACAGUUUUAAACUCUGGGCAUCUCUAAAGAAGUUAUUAAAAUUAUAGUGUGGAUACAAAACUCUUAGAAGAAAAUAGGACUAAAUCUUCAGAACCUUGGAUUAAGCAAUGGUUUCUUAGAUAUAACACCAAAAGCACAAACAACAAAAACAUAAAUUGUACUACAUCACAAUUAAAAACUUGUGUGCUUCAAAUGAGGAUGCCAUCAAGAAAGUGAAAAGAAAAAAAAAGUGAAAAGAUAACCCACAAAAUGGAAGAAAAUAUUUGCAAAUUAUGUAUCUGUUAAAGAACUCUUAAAAUUCAAUAAUAAAAAGACAAAACUUGGACAAAGAAUCUGAGCAGACAAUUCUCCAAAGAAAAUAAAUGGCCAGCAAGCACACUCCUAGGUAUAGACCCAAGAGGACUGAAAGCAUGUCGACACAAAAUCUGGCAUUAUGAAUAUUCAUUGCAGCAUUAUUAAUAGCCAACAAGUGGAAACCCAAACAUCAUGAGAUGUGGAGCCAGGAACAGCAAGCACCACUGACCUGUGGACUGCAGCAAGCCUAUGCUAAACUAAAGGAAGCCAUCGUGAGGAUGAAAAGGGGACCCUCGUGAGCAAGAGAGGGACGAGGUGAGCAGAACCCUGAGAGAGAAAACCAAAUCAACAGGAAUGGGUGGAAAAGGGGCAAGAGGGAAUGAGGACCUAAUACUUGUCUCAGUAUCACAAAGAACUGUGGUGUCACAGAGCUGAUCUGUAGGCUAAAAUCAUGUUCAACACGUCCUAGUUCAUGCUAUCCAUUAUUCUCACCCUCAGCACAGCCCCUUGGGCUUUAACUGCAAAAAGGACAAUGGCGACUUUUAAUGUGAUCCCUUCAGAUUUUAGAACUCUUAGGUAAUGUUUUUAAGUAUAUCAACGCGGAGGGGGGCAGCGCCAGUGGAUGAACUGGGACUCAAAAUACACUUUCACAUUGGAAACAUAAAAAAAAAAAAAGUAUUCAGUAUAACAACUAUUUACAUAGCAUUUGCAUGUUAUUAGGUAUUGUCAGUAGAGAUGAUUUAAAAUAUAUGGAUGUGCAUGUUAUAUGCAAAUAUUACAACAUUUUAUAUAAGGGACCUGAGCAUCUACAGAUUUUGCUAUCUGAGGCAGCUCCUGGAACCAAUUUCCCAUGAAUACUGAGGGACAGUGUAUUAACAAAUAAUUUGACUAUUGUUUUGCUAUUGUUUUGGUCCCUUGGGAUUUCAUAUGAACUUUUGAUUGGCUUUUCUAUGUCUGUAAAAAAACAACAAAAA
This is a long non-coding RNA of Rhinolophus ferrumequinum (greater horseshoe bat), 1899 nucleotides long. RefSeq lists it as uncharacterized. NCBI's taxonomy places the organism in Eukaryota, Metazoa, Chordata, Mammalia, Chiroptera, Rhinolophidae. The record is from RefSeq and is a predicted model, not a curated record. The transcript is spliced from 3 exons.